This 338-nucleotide ribosomal RNA is filed under the name Lactiplantibacillus plantarum. RNAcentral describes it as "bacterial SSU rRNA". It matches the Rfam family "Bacterial small subunit ribosomal RNA", at positions 20 to 333 of the family's 1533-position model. Lineage: Bacteria; Bacillati; Bacillota; Bacilli; Lactobacillales; Lactobacillaceae. The record is from RNAcentral.
UGGCUCAGGACGGAACGCUGGCGGCGUGCCUAAUACAUGCAAGUCGAACGAACUCUGGUAUUGAUUGGUGCUUGCAUCAUGAUUUACAUUUGAGUGAGUGGCGAACUGGUGAGUAACACGUGGGAAACCUGCCCAGAAGCGGGGGAUAACACCUGGAAACAGAUGCUAAUACCGCAUAACAACUUGGACCGCAUGGUCCGAGCUUGAAAGAUGGCUUCGGCUAUCACUUUUGGAUGGUUCCCGCGGCGUAUUAGCUAGAUGGUGGGGUAACGGCUCACCAUGGCAAUGAUACGUAGCCGACCUGAGAGGGUAAUCGGCCACAUGGACUGAGACACGCC